Molecule: long non-coding RNA, 195 nt
Filed under: Chinchilla lanigera (long-tailed chinchilla)
Lineage: Eukaryota; Metazoa; Chordata; Mammalia; Rodentia; Chinchillidae
Description: lncRNA (ENSCLAG00000025519.1)
Source: RNAcentral
UGCAGGAGAAGGAUUCCGUUUCCACUGAGCAGAUGAAAACAACCAAAGUUCAAAUAACUGAUUCAGCUGAGCUCAACCGGUGUUGGUGUCUGGAGUAAAGUUGAGAAGUUAGAAUACUGGUUAAGGAAGAGAGAUGUGGAGUCUGACUGUUUGAAUUCUGGAACUGUCACAGUCGGAUGUUGGUGUGAUGAAUCU